Molecule: long non-coding RNA, 4863 nt
Filed under: Homo sapiens (human)
Lineage: Eukaryota; Metazoa; Chordata; Mammalia; Primates; Hominidae
Description: non-protein coding lnc-ARFGEF3-5:1
Source: RNAcentral
GUUGUUGUUCUUUUAGUAGAGAUGGGGUUUCACCAUGUUAGCCAGGAUGGUCUCGAUCUCCUGACCUCGUGAUCUGCCCGCCUCGGCCUCCCAAAGUGCUGGGAUUACAGGCGUGAGCCACCGCGCCCGGCCAAUAAUACCCUUUUAAAAAGUGGGCUAAGGACAUGAAUAGACAAUUCUCAAAAUAAGUUAUACAAAUGCCCAAGAAACACAUGAAAAAAAUGCUCAACAUCACUAAUGAUCAGGAAAAUGCAAAUCAAAACCACAAUGAGAUACCACCUUACUCCUGCAAGGAUGACCAUAAUCAAAAAAAUCAAAAAAUAAUAGAUGUUGGCAUAGGUGUGGUGAAAAGGGAACACUUUCAUGCUGCUGGUGGGAAUGUAAACUAGUACAAACACUGGAAAACAGCGUGGAGAUUUCUUAAAGAACUAAGAGUAGAUCUACCAUUUGAUCUGGCAAUCCCACUACUGAGUAUCUACCUAGAGGAAAAGAAGUCAUUAUAUGAAAAAGACACUUGGACACGCAUGUUUAUAGCAGCACAAUUUGCAAUUGCAGAAGUAUGGAACCAGCCCAAAUACCCAUGAAUCAACGAGUGGAUAAAGAAAAUGUGGUAGAUAUAUAUACCAUGGAAUACUAUUCAGCCAUACAAAGAACAAAAUAAUGGCAUUUGCAGCAACCUGGAUGGAGUUGGAAACCAUUAUUCUAAGUGAAUUAUCUCGGGAAUGGAAAACCAAAUGUUGUGUGUUCUCACUUCUAUGAGGGAGCUAAGCUCUGAGGACGCAACGGCAUAAGAAUGAUACAAUGGACUAUGGGGACUUGGAGGUAAUGUUGGGAGGAGGGUGAGGAAUAAAAUAUUACACAUCGGGUACAGUGUAUGUUGCUUGGGUGGUGGGUGCACCAGAAUCUCAGAAAUAACCACUAAAUAACUUAUACAUGUAACCAAACACCACCUGUUCCCCAAAAACUAUUGUAGUUUUUUUUUUAAAAAUGUUAAGAAAGAAAAGACCAGAAGUACACUUCAAAAGCUUACUAAUUUCUCUUCCAUAAACUAAGAUAGGAUUAUGAUUUUUUUAAACAAUAAGUAAUUAUUAUUUAAUUAUUUAAACAAUAAGUAACUAUUAUUUAAUUACUUACUAAUUAAUAAGUAAGAAAAAGCUCUUGGAAUUAAAUAUGACAGAUAUUUUCAAAGUUCAUGGGAAAUGCAUAUUAUAAAAGAAAACUAUGCAUAGACUUCAAAAUCUUUUGAACCAUCAUAAACUCAUACUAACUGGUUAUAACUUCUGAACAGGAUCUGGUUUGUGGCAUUAAGAAAGAUAGGACAGGCCAGGCUCAGUGGCUCAUGCCUGUAAUCUCAACACUUUGGGAGGCUGAGGUGGAUGGAUCAUGAGGUCAAGAAUUCAAGACCAGCCUGGCCAACAUGGUAAAACCCUGUCUCUACUAAAAAUACAAAAAAUUAGCUGAGCAUGGUGGUGCAUGCUUAUAGUCCCAGCUACUCAGGAGGCUGAGGCAGGAGGAUCGCUUGAACCUGGGAGGCAGAGGUUGCAGUGAGCCAAGAUCGUGCCACUGCACUCCAGCCUCGGCAACAGAAUGAGACUCCGUCUCAAAAAAAAACAGAAAACAAAAAAAAAAACAAAACAAAAGAAAAGAAAAAGAAAGCUAGGACACAGUUUGAAAAGAGCCUGUAUCAGUGUAACAUGAAUUCUGCUAAAAUUAAACAAACAUCAAAUUUGUGAUGAAGCUUAGGUGGAAGAAUGGUGAAAUACUUGAUGCUUUACAAAAAGUUUAUGGGAACAAUGCCCCAAAGAAAUCAGCAAUUUACAAAUGGAUAACUUGUAUUAAGAAGGCACAAGAUGAUGGUGAAUAUGAAGCCCACAGCGGCAGACCAUCCACCACAAUUUGAGAGGAAGAAAUUUAUCUUGUUCAUGCCUUAAUUGAAGAAGACCAACAAUUAACAGCAGAAACAAUAGCCCAUAUUAUAGAUAUCUCAAUUGGUUCACCUUACACAAUUCUGACUGAAAAAUUAAAGUUGAGCAAAACUUUUCACUCAAUGUGUACCAAAUCUGUUGCAUCCAGAUUAGCUGCAGAUAGGAGCUUUCAGUGGAAAGUUUAAACAAGUAGGAUCAAGAUCCUGAAGCAUUUCUCCAAAGAAUUCUAAUAGAAGAUGAAAUAUGGCUUUACCAGUGUGAUCCUGAUGAAAAAGCACAAGCAAAGCAAUGUCUACCAAGAGUGGAAGUGGUCCCGUCAAAGCACAAGUGAACCAGUCAAGAGCAAGAGACAUGGCAACAGUUCUUUGGGAAUACUCAAGGCAUUUUGCUUGUUGACUAUCUGGAGAGCCAAAGAAUGAUAACAUCUGUGGUAGCGCUCCUCACACGGGAGCACCAGCUGUGGGGGUCUGUCCCUUGCAGACCCCUGACCCAGCGAUGGAUGAAUGAAGUACACGGGCAACACCAGACUGAUUGAAUCCCUACAAACAUCUGCUUAUUAUGAGAGUGUUUUGAGAAAGCUAGCCAAAGCUUUACCAGAAAAAUAUUCGGGAAAGCUUCAUCAAAGAGGCUUCUCCACCACAACAAUGCUUCUGCUCAUUUCUCUAUUCAAACAAGGAAAAUUUUGCAAGAGUUUCUACGGGAACUCAUUAGGCUUCCACCUUACAAUCCUGAUUUGGUUUCUUAUGACUUAUUUUUGUUUCCUAAUCUUAAAAAAUAUUUGAAGAGUAUUCAUUUUUCUUCAAUUAGUAAUGUAAAAAAGAUUGUCUUGACAUGGUUAAAUUCCUAGGACUCUAGUGCAUUAUGGAGGAACUGAAUGGUUGGUAUCAUUGCUUACAAAAGUGUCUUCAUCCUGAUGGAGCUUAUGUUAAGAAAUAAAGUUCAUAUGUUUCAUUUUUAUCUUUUUUUUUUUUUUGAGACGGAGUCUCGCUGUCACCCAGGCUGGAGUCCAGUGACACGAUCUCGGCUCACCCCAACCCCCCCGCCUCCCAGGUUCAAGUGAUUCUACUGCCUCAACCUCCUGAGUAGCUGGGACUACAGACGUGCACCAUGACGCCUGGUUAAUUUUUUAUUUUUUAUUUUUUUUAUUUUUAGUAGAGACAGGGUUUCACCAUAUUGGCCAGGCUAGUCUAGAACUCCUGACCUCCUGAUCUGCCCACCUUGGCCUCCCAAAGUGCUGGGAUUAAAGGCGUGAGCCACCAUGCCUGGCUCAUUUUUAUCUUUUAACUCAAUUUUCCCACAAAAUUCUUGAAGUCCCCUCAUAUAUGAUAGAAGAAAAAUUUUUAGACUCAACCAAAAGAUUGAAAAUUUAAUAUUGACAAAAUCACUGAAAAGGAAGAACAAAAAAACAAAGAAACGAAAAAUGGGCUGGGCAUAGUGACUCAUGCCCAUAACCCCAGAACUUUGGGAGGCUGAGGUGGGUGGAUCAGUUGGAGUCAGGAGUUUGAGACGAGCCUGGUUAACAUGGUGAAACCCCAUCUCUACUAAAAAUACAAAAAUUAGCUGGGUGUUGUGGUGUGUGCCGGUAGUCCCAGCUACCCGCAAGGUGAGGCAGGAGAAUUGCUUGAACCUGGGAGGCAGAAGUUGAAGUGAGCUGCAAUUGUGCCACUGCACUUGAGCCUGGGCGAUAAAGCAAGACUCCAUUUCAAAAAAAAGGAAAAAAGAAAAAAGAAAAGAAACGGAAAACGGAAGAGAAGGUAAAACAAAAAGGAAAUAGAUGGAAAAUGGAGGAAAGGGACAGAAAAUUAGAAGAGUAACUAACAGGUCCAAUAUAUGACGAAUAGGCAGUACAGAAAGAGAGAACAGAAAAAUGGAGCCCUUGGAUAAAAGUGGAUUAAAAAGCAAAUACAACCUUGCACUAAGACACAUCAUAAAUUUGAGAACACAGAAAUGAAAAGAAAAUACUAAAAUCUUCACAUGAUGAAAAGGUGACUUACAAGCAAAAGAUUGGAAAUCAGAAUGGCAUCUGACCUCUCAAGUGCAAUACAAAAAUUAGGAAUGUAGCAGAGCCUUCAAAUUCUGAGAAAAAAUGAUCUCCAGCGUGAAAUUCUAUAUGUAGACAAACUAUCAAUCAAGUAUAAGGGUAGAAUAAAUGUAUUAGUUUAUUAGUUUGGAAAUAAUGGAAGAUGUAUUAGUUUCCUGUAGCUGCAGUAACAAAGUAUCACAAACUGUGUAGCUUUAAACAACAAAAAUAUAUUCUCUCACAGUUCUGGGAACUGUAAGUCUUUAAUUAUGCUAUUGUGAGGGCAUGUUCUCUCUCUUAGCUUCUAGUGAUUGACAACAAUACUGGACACUCCUUGACUUGUAGCUACAUAAUUAACAAUCUCUGCCUCCUCCAUCACACAGCUGUCUCUCCUCUGUGUGUCUGUGUCUUCACAUGGCAUUCUCUCCUCUGAUGUGUCUCUGUGCUUUCUUUUCUCGUUCUUAUAAGGAUACCAGUCAUGUUGAAUUAAGGACCUGCCCUACUCCUUACAUCUUAAUUUUCAUCUUAAUUACGUCUGCAAAGACCCUGUUUCCAAAGAAGGUCACAUACAUGUACCAGAAGUUAAGAUGACAACAUAUCUUUUGGUGGGGGGGGACAAAAAUUAACAGAGGAUCUAUUUACAUCACAUAUAACCAUUCUUAGCUACUUGAUAAAGUGCUUUACUCUAAUGAGGGGAGAAAGCAAGAAUAUAAAAUAUAAAGGCCUGAAGAAACAAGAAAUCCAAUCAAGAGAAAAACAAAAUAAAUUCCUAGGAUGAUGGUGAAAGGAAUUCCCAGAAGGACAGCUGCACAGCAGCAGAGGGCAGCCAGGUCAAACUGGAGCAGGAGUCUACAUGUUCAAUGCAUUCAACAGGAAAAGAAGGAAAGAAAGGAAAAGAAAAAAGAAAGAAAGAGAGAG